AUUGAACGCUGGCGGCAUGCUUUACACAUGCCAGUCGAACGGCAGCGCGGGCUUCGGCCUGGCGGCGAGUGGCGAACGGGUGAGUAAUACAUCGGAACGUGCCCAGUAGUGGGGGAUAGCUCGGCGAAAGCCGGAUUAAUACCGCAUACGACCUGAGGGUGAAAGCGGGGGAUCUUCGGACCUCGCGCUAUUGGAGCGGCCGAUGGCAGAUUAGCUAGUUGGUGGGGUAAAGGCCUACCAAGGCGACGAUCUGUAGCUGGUCUGAGAGGACGACCAGCCACACUGGGACUGAGACACGGCCCAGACUCCUACGGGAGGCAGCAGUGGGGAAUUUUGGACAAUGGGCGAAAGCCUGAUCCAGCAAUGCCGCGUGUGUGAUGAAGGCCUUCGGGUUGUAAAGUACUUUUGGCGGGAACGAAAAGGACUGUGCCAAUACCACGGUUCGAUGACGGUACCCGCAGAAUAAGCACCGGCUAACUACGUG
RNAcentral lists this ribosomal RNA (484 nucleotides) under uncultured bacterium. Its description in RNAcentral is "partial 16S ribosomal RNA". It matches the Rfam family "Bacterial small subunit ribosomal RNA", at positions 29 to 507 of the family's 1533-position model. The record is from RNAcentral.